This 496-nucleotide long non-coding RNA is filed under the name Apteryx rowi (Okarito brown kiwi). RNAcentral's name for it is "lncRNA (ENSARWG00000008317.1)". Lineage: Eukaryota; Metazoa; Chordata; Aves; Apterygiformes; Apterygidae. The record is from RNAcentral.
ACACACGUUCCAGCUGACCUCCUACUAGGAUCUGCAGUUGAGAGAGAACAGAAAACACUCGAUUCUUGGAACUGCCCACGUGCAGUGUCUGAUGCAACCAAGUGUUGGGAACAUCCCUGAGAGCAGCUGAGGAGUUACGCCCUGUUGAGAUGGCUGGGACUGUUCACUUCUGAGCACAACCCUUUUAAGCUGUUAGCAGAGGUCAGGCAGAUGCUGUUCUACAACCACGAAGUCCAGAGACUUACCUGUACGUUAAUAGUCUCAGGCUUCACCUUAAUUGCAUGACUUAAGCAGAGCGCUGCUGCACAUGGAGGACAGUCCCUGUGUUCUGCCCCAGGGAUGGCUGCAGCUGAACAGAAGGUGCCAGGUUGAUGAUGCAGUUUCAGUGUGUUCCAACACUGCUACAGUCAAACAGCACAGACCUCGCUCCCCUGUGUGGUUUCACAGGACUGUGCAUCUGCAGCAUUUCUCCUCGCAUACUACAAGAACUUGCUGA